UGCAGUCGAGCGCACCUUCGGGUGAGCGGCGGACGGGUUAGUAACGCGUGGGAACAUACCCUUUGGUACGGAAUAGCCUCUGGAAACGGAGAGUAAUACCGUAUGAGCCCUUCGGGGGAAAGAUUUAUCGCCAAAGGAUUGGCCCGCGUUAGAUUAGGUAGUUGGUGGGGUAAUGGCCUACCAAGCCUACGAUCUAUAGCUGGUUUUAGAGGAUGAUCAGCAACACUGGGACUGAGACACGGCCCAGACUCCUACGGGAGGCAGCAGUGGGGAAUCUUGGACAAUGGGGGCAACCCUGAUCCAGCCAUGCCGCGUGAGUGAUGAAGGCCUUAGGGUCGUAAAGCUCUUUCGCCUGUGAAGAUAAUGACGGUAGCAGGUAAAGAAACCCCGGCUAACUCCGUGCCAGCAGCCGCGGUAAUACGGAGGGGGUUAGCGUUGUUCGGAAUUACUGGGCGUAAAGCGCACGUAGGCGGACUGGAAAGUUGGGGGUGAAAUCCCAGGGCUCAACCCUGGAACUGCCUCCAAAACUAUCAGUCUAGAGUUCGAGAGAGGUGAGUGGAAUUCCGAGUGUAGAGGUGAUAUUCGUAGAUAUUCGGAGGAACACCAGUGGCGAAGGCGGCUCACUGGCUCGAUACUGACGCUGAGGUGCGAAAGUGUGUGGAGCAAACAGGAUUAGAUACCCUGGUAGUCCACACCGUAAACGAUGAAUGCCAGUCGUCGGGUAGCAUGCUAUUCGGUGACACACCUAACGGAUUAAGCAUUCCGCCUGGGGAGUACGGU
RNAcentral lists this ribosomal RNA (780 nucleotides) under Ruegeria sp. RNAcentral's name for it is "bacterial SSU rRNA". It matches the Rfam family "Bacterial small subunit ribosomal RNA", at positions 56 to 886 of the family's 1533-position model. The record is from RNAcentral. Lineage: Bacteria; Pseudomonadati; Pseudomonadota; Alphaproteobacteria; Rhodobacterales; Roseobacteraceae.